Triticum aestivum (bread wheat) is the source of this 627-nucleotide long non-coding RNA. RefSeq lists it as uncharacterized. NCBI's taxonomy places the organism in Eukaryota, Viridiplantae, Streptophyta, Magnoliopsida, Poales, Poaceae. The record is from RefSeq and is a predicted model, not a curated record. The transcript has 4 exons.
CGGCAAGAAGGGUGGUCGGUUAUAUGUUGGCGACGGUGCCAUCCGUAAGAAGGACAUCCCAAAACUCUCUCACCUCCGUGCUACCACGUCGAGCUCAGGUCCUGCUAUAGAGCUUCGCCCACAGCCUGGGCUGCACAUGCUCCAUCAACUCGAGGCCAAUGCCAGGCUUCGAGAGGAGGAAGCCAUGAAAAUGCAGCAGGCCCUGUUUCAACAGCAAGAAUUCAUGGUUAAACAACAGGCAAUCCUGCAGGAGACAUUUGCUCAACUCAGAAAUAAUAUGCAGGGUUCCACUUUGCCCGUUCUUCCUCCUCUUCCGACUCUUCCUAAUUUCAACUUUUUUUCUCAGUCGGGACAAGGCUCCAAUAACUGUGUGGUAGGUGGAUCUUCACCUGGCUAAGCAAGUCCAGUGACACCCACUACGGUUCAUGUCGCUUCGACCUCCCCGCAACAAUGAUCACUUGAGGUUUGCAUUGUGGAUGGCGUUGACGGUGGGCAUAUAUGCUGCGGUGGAGCUCAUUGGUUCAUGCUUGGUGUGAACAUGGAACUCAUGAUUCUUUAAUUUGUGAACCUCUGGUUGCAUAUGUAUGUAUGUUGUUGUGAACCUUCGUUGGAUAUGUAUGCACUGUG